RNAcentral lists this long non-coding RNA (796 nucleotides) under Monodelphis domestica (gray short-tailed opossum). RNAcentral describes it as "lncRNA (ENSMODG00000030039.2)". Lineage: Eukaryota; Metazoa; Chordata; Mammalia; Didelphimorphia; Didelphidae. The record is from RNAcentral.
GACCAACAUGAAAGGAGAAGGGGGUUGGGGCAUGAUGCCUUUUGUCUCCUACUUGGAGGAAGGUGCUUGUUGAGCCAUGAAGUGCCCAGCACAGGCUUUGGCAGGUGAUAAUUAGCCAGGUUGGAGCUAGGACUUUGGACAAAGAGCAGUGAGCCAGCUGAGAUGAGGAAUUGUUAGCUGCCCAAGGAACCAAAGCUGGAAUUGUAGCAAGGGGAACAAUGCUUUGGUGUCUGAUCUGAAAUCCUUAGAAGCUUAUUAAUGCACCCUUCUUCCAGGACUCUUUCAAAUCAAUAUUAUACAGUUUCCUGAAGGAAAAACCAUGAAGUAGAACUGGAUUUCUUCAAUGUCACACAGGAAUGAGCAUGAAGAGGAAAUGGAAAAACAACAUGGAUCUGCAGAAAAGCAAGAGACUUGGAAUUUUGGCAACUGCCAGUCAACUGAGAUGGAGUCACAGUUCCAUGGAAUUUUGAAGGAAGCAGUUGGGCAGCUUGAGCUGUUUUGAGACUCACUUCUUUUCUGACAGUUGGGAGAAAGCCAGACUCUCUCUUGUUCAAUGAUUAUCUGACUGAGUACUGAGAAGACUUUUAGAACUUAGCUCAGAAGAAACUCUGCCAUCCAGUUGUUAUCAACAUCUCCCCUUAGAGAAAAAUCACUUUAUUUCCUGAAUUGAGAGCUCCAAUCAACAGGAAAAUAUAGGAAGUUAGAGAAACCCAUUUUCCUCUCUCCCCCCCUCCUUCUCCUUACUUCCUAUAUUUAAAAGAAUAAAAACUUUUUGUUAAAAAUUUGAGGGUGAAAG